AGCAUUGUCAAGACCGCGCCUGCCUGGAAGCUUUCUGUCGCCCCUGCGCUGGUGCCAGUCGGUACGUACUUUCGGACAGGAGGAAGUCCUUCGAGAAUGCUGCGAACGAGAGUCGUUAAAAGAAUAUAGAGAGACCUGUCUUCUGAAUAACAAGAACGCCGAAAAUGACGACAAGCUGUAUGACGUGGUUGGCGAGACUGAUACUGGUAGUGGCAGCAGCAGUUGUAGUUGGAUCAAGUAACACUACAAACAUUGUGUCUCCAAGCAAUGUGAAUGCUAUUAUUGGAGCUUUUCUCAACAUACACAAGCAAGGCAAUGGGUUGUAUGACUGUGGGCAGACAAGUGUGAAUGGAGUAAUAAUGUCUGAAGCUAUGUCAUG
Molecule: long non-coding RNA, 379 nt
Organism: Schistocerca nitens (vagrant locust)
Lineage: Eukaryota; Metazoa; Arthropoda; Insecta; Orthoptera; Acrididae
Exons: 3
Source: RefSeq, a predicted model, not a curated record